UUACUUCUGAGGAGUCCCGCAAUAGGACGAAACGGCCGUCCAGUGC
Schistosoma mattheei is the source of this 46-nucleotide non-coding RNA. NCBI's taxonomy places the organism in Eukaryota, Metazoa, Platyhelminthes, Trematoda, Strigeidida, Schistosomatidae. The record is from Rfam.